AGAGUUUGAUCCUGGCUCAGAUUGAACGCUGGCGGCAUGCCUAACACAUGCAAGUCGAACGGCAGCACAGAGGAGCUUGCUCCUUGGGUGGCGAGUGGCGGACGGGUGAGUAAUGCAUCGGGAUCUACCCAGACGUGGGGGAUAACCUCGGGAAACCGGGACUAAUACCGCAUACGUCCUACGGGAGAAAGCGGGGGACCUUUUAGGCCUCGCGCGGCUGGACGAACCGAUGUGCGAUUACCUAGUUGGUGGGGUAAUGGCCUACCAAGGCGACGAUCGCUAGCUGGCCUGAGAGGAUGAUCAGCCACGCUGUGACU
Molecule: ribosomal RNA, 317 nt
Filed under: uncultured Rhodanobacter sp.
Lineage: Bacteria; Pseudomonadati; Pseudomonadota; Gammaproteobacteria; Lysobacterales; Rhodanobacteraceae
Description: bacterial SSU rRNA
Rfam family: Bacterial small subunit ribosomal RNA
Source: RNAcentral